AGCCAGCAGCCGCGGUAAUACGUAGGUGGCAAGCGUUGUCCGGAUUUACUGGGCGUAAAGGAUGCGUAGGUGGAUAUUUAAGUGGGAUGUGAAAUACCCGGGCUUAACCUGGGUGCUGCAUUCCAAACUGGAUGUCUAGAGUGCAGGAGAGGUAAGUGGAAUUCCUAGUGUAGCGGUGAAAUGCGUAGAGAUUAGGAAGAACACCAGUGGCGAAGGCGACUUACUGGACUGUAACUGACACUGAGGCAUGAAAGCGUGGGGAGCAAACAGGAUUAGAUACCCUGGUAGUCCACGCCGUAAACGAUGGGUACUAGGUGUGGGGGUUGUCAUGACUUCCGUGCCGCCGUUAACACAAUAAGUACCCCGCCUGGGGAGUACGGUCGCAAGAUUAAAACUUAAAGGAAUUGGCGGGGGAU
RNAcentral lists this ribosomal RNA (416 nucleotides) under uncultured bacterium. RNAcentral describes it as "bacterial SSU rRNA". It matches the Rfam family "Bacterial small subunit ribosomal RNA", at positions 506 to 921 of the family's 1533-position model. The record is from RNAcentral.